This 1188-nucleotide ribosomal RNA is filed under the name Triticum aestivum (bread wheat). Its description in RNAcentral is "partial small subunit ribosomal RNA". The record is from RNAcentral. Lineage: Eukaryota; Viridiplantae; Streptophyta; Magnoliopsida; Poales; Poaceae.
AUGGAUGCGCGGCGGCGCUCCCCGAAGAAGCGCAAGUUCGAGCGAGUUCCGGACCAAGAUUCACCACCGGGGAGCGGCAGCGCCGGCGUCGACCUCAUCAACGCCCUCCCCGACGCCGUCCUCUGCACCAUCAUCUCGCUCCUCCCCACCAAGGACGGAGCCCGCACGCAGGCCGUCGCCCGCCGCUGGCGACCCCUCUGGCGCUCCGCGCCCCUCAACCUCGUCGCCGACUCCACCUUGUCUCGCCAGCAGCGCAAGCGCGUCGUCUACGUCACCAAGAUCCUCGCCGAGCACCCUGGCCCGGCCCUCCGCCUCAAGCUCCCCUACAUCCGCCGACGUGACUACGGCAAGAUCGACGCCUGGCUUCGUUCCCAGGCCCUCACCGAUCUGCAGGAGCUCCACCUCGGCUACGACAGCCAAGACUCCCCCCCCCGCCUUCCCUGCUGUCGCCAUAAUGUUGGCUUUGCUCGCCUCCGCAUCAGUUCCCAGACUCUUAGGAGCAUCGGUUUCUCUGCUCCUUACACACAGGGGCCUUCUCUUUUCCAUGAGCUGGUCAUUGAGGACGCCCCUUGCCUUGAGAGGCUGCUGCCACUCAGUCCAGACUAUGGUCCGACGAUCGUCCGGGUAAUUCGAGCACCUAAGCUGCAGGUAUUGGGUGUGCUGUCAAAGGGCAUAUCCAAACUCCACAUUGGGACCACGGUUUUUCAGGAAAUGACUGCCAUCAGCUUGACAACCACAAUGCGCACGGUGAAGGUUUUGGUUAUUGAAUCUUUUGGCCCUAAUCUUGAUGCAGUAAUUGGCUUUCUCAAAUGCUUUCCCUGCUUGGAGAGGCUGUAUGUCCUUUCGCAGCCAUGGAUGGAGAUGAAAAAUGUGCAAAAAUAUGACCCACUGGAUCCAAUUGAAUGCCUUGAGAGCUAUCUCAAAAGAGUGGUGUGGAAGAACUACAUUGGGGACAUGCUAGAUGUUGAAUUUGCCAAGUUUUUCGUUUUGAAUGCGAAGGUGCUAGAAGAAAUGAAAUUUGUAUCCAGUAACAGUUGCGACCGCCAAUGGAAGCCUAAUCAACACAUGUGCUUACAAGUGGACAGCAGAGCUUCUCCUGAUGCUCGACUUGAAUUCAUUAGUUGUAUGGAUGUUUUAGGAGAUGACAAGCGUACCCAUGAUUUAUCAAUGGCCGAUCCCUUCGAGUGA